RNAcentral lists this ribosomal RNA (505 nucleotides) under uncultured Geobacter sp. Its description in RNAcentral is "bacterial SSU rRNA". It matches the Rfam family "Bacterial small subunit ribosomal RNA", at positions 335 to 831 of the family's 1533-position model. The record is from RNAcentral. Lineage: Bacteria; Pseudomonadati; Thermodesulfobacteriota; Desulfuromonadia; Geobacterales; Geobacteraceae.
ACUCCUACGGGAGGCAGCAGUGGGGAAUUUUGCGCAAUGGGGGAAACCCUGACGCAGCAACGCCGCGUGAGUGAUGAAGGCCCUUGGGUCGUAAAGCUCUGACAGAGGGAAAGAAAUGCAGGGGGGCUAAUAUCUCCCUUGCUUGACGGUACCCUCAAAGGAAGCACCGGCUAACUCCGUGCCAGCAGCCGCGGUAAUACGGGGGGUGCAAGCGUUGUUCGGAUUUAUUGGGCGUAAAGCGCGUGUAGGCGGUUUUAUAAGUCUGAUGUGAAAGCCCUGGGCUCAACCCGGGAAGUGCAUUGGAUACUGUAAGACUUGAAUACGGGAGAGGGCAGUGGAAUUCCUAGUGUAGGAGUGAAAUCCGUAGAUAUUAGGAGGAACACCGGUGGCGAAGGCGGCUGCCUGGACCGAUAUUGACGCUGAGACGCGAAAGCGUGGGUAGCAAACAGGAUUAGAUACCCUGGUAGUCCACGCCGUAAACGAUGAGAACUAGGUGUCGCGGGUA